This 253-nucleotide ribosomal RNA is filed under the name uncultured bacterium. RNAcentral's name for it is "partial 16S ribosomal RNA". It matches the Rfam family "Bacterial small subunit ribosomal RNA", at positions 524 to 776 of the family's 1533-position model. The record is from RNAcentral.
UACGUAAGGGGCAAGCGUUGUCCGGAAUCACUGGGCGUAAAGCGCACGUAGGCGGCUUAGUAAGUCAGGGGUGCAAGCUCCAGGCCUAACCUGGAAAUUGCCUCUGAAACUGCUUCGCUUGAGUAUCAGAGGGGAAGCUGGAAUUCACGGUGUAGCGGUGAAAUGCGUAGAUAUCGUGGAGAACACCCGUGGCGAAGGCGGGCUUCUGGCUGAUUACUGACGCUGAGGUGCGAAAGCUAGGGGAGCGAACGGG